GACGAACGCUGGCGGCGUGCUUAACACAUGCAAGUCGAGCGGUAAGGCCCUUUCGGGGGUACACGAGCGGCGAACGGGUGAGUAACACGUGGGUGACCUGCCCUCAGCUCUGGGAUAAGCCUGGGAAACCGGGUCUAAUACCGGAUAUGACUCCAUGACGCACGUUGUGGGGUGGGAAAGCCUUGUGCGGCUGAGGAGUGGGCCCGGCCGGCCUAUCAGCUUGUUGGUGGGGUGGAUGGCCACCAAGGACGGACGACGGGUAGGCCGGCCGUCGAGAGGGCGGACCGGCCGACACUGGGACGUGA
This 305-nucleotide ribosomal RNA is filed under the name uncultured bacterium. RNAcentral describes it as "bacterial SSU rRNA". It matches the Rfam family "Bacterial small subunit ribosomal RNA", at positions 28 to 322 of the family's 1533-position model. The record is from RNAcentral.